This 427-nucleotide ribosomal RNA is filed under the name uncultured bacterium. RNAcentral's name for it is "bacterial SSU rRNA". It matches the Rfam family "Bacterial small subunit ribosomal RNA", at positions 917 to 1344 of the family's 1533-position model. The record is from RNAcentral.
GGGCCCGCACAAGCGGUGGAGUAUGUGGUUUAAUUCGAUGCAACGCGAAGAACCUUACCAGGGUUUGACAUCCUGCGAAUCUCUUGGAAACAGGAGAGUGCCUUCGGGAACGCAGUGACAGGUGGUGCAUGGCUGUCGUCAGCUCGUGUCGUGAGAUGUUGGGUUAAGUCCUAUAACGAGCGCAACCCCUAUCGUUAGUUGCCAUCAAGUAAAGUUGGGAACUCUAGCGAAACUGCCGGUGCAAACCGUGAGGAAGGUGGGGAUGACGUCAAAUCAUCACGGCCCUUACGUUCUGGGCUACACACGUGCUACAAUGGCCGGUACAGAAAGCAGCCACUAUGCGAAUAGGAGCUAAUCUUUAAAACCGGUCUCAGUUCGGAUCGCAGUCUGCAACUCGACUGCGUGAAGCUGGAAUCGCUAGUAAUCG